RNAcentral lists this ribosomal RNA (534 nucleotides) under Phomopsis sp. OTU4 TS-2013. RNAcentral describes it as "eukaryotic LSU rRNA". It matches the Rfam family "Eukaryotic large subunit ribosomal RNA", at positions 62 to 629 of the family's 3401-position model. Lineage: Eukaryota; Fungi; Ascomycota; Sordariomycetes; Diaporthales; Diaporthaceae. The record is from RNAcentral.
AAACCAACAGGGANUGCCCUAGUAACGGCGAGUGAAGCGGCAACAGCUCAAAUUUGAAAUCUGGCCUCGGCCCGAGUUGUAAUUUGCAGAGGAUGUUUCUGGCGCGGUGCCUUCCGAGUUCCCNGGAACGGGACGCCACAGAGGGUGAGAGCCCCGUAUGGUCGGACACCAAGCCUGUGUGAAACUCCUUCNACGAGUCGAGUAGUUUGGGAAUGCUGCUCUAAAUGGGAGGUAAAUCUCUUCUAAAGCUAAAUACCGGCCAGAGACCGAUAGCGCACAAGUAGAGUGAUCGAAAGAUGAAAAGCACCUUGAAAAGGGGGUUAAAUAGUACGUGAAAUUGUUGAAAGGGAAGCACUUGUGACCAACUUGGGCCGGGCGGCUCAUCAGGGGUUCUCCCCUGUGCCUCCGCCCGGCACAGGCCAGCAUCUUCUCGUGGGGGGAAGACCGUCCGGAACUACCACCCUCCGGGGUGUGUUAUAGCCCGGCGGAAUACCCUCGUGGGGACCGAGGUUCGCGCUCCCCAGGAAUGCUGGG